UCUCCGUAGGUGAACCAGCGGAGGGAUCAUUACUGAGUGUUACAACUCUCAUAUCCUUUCUGAACCUUAGCAUUCGUUCCUUUAGCCUCACUACCCCCUCGUCAACGCCCGUCCGCCUUCCGCCAGGGGCCUCAGAUUCUGCAUUUAACGGGCUGGUAUUCUCUCUCAGUUUCAUAUGUACAUAAGUUAAAUCUUUCUACAACGGAUCUCUUGCCUCUGGCAUCUAUGAUGAACACAGCUGAUAGCAAGAGCACUCGUCUGCCCUGCAGUCACGCAGAA
RNAcentral lists this unclassified non-coding RNA (279 nucleotides) under plant metagenome. RNAcentral describes it as "partial contains small subunit ribosomal RNA, internal transcribed spacer 1, and 5.8S ribosomal RNA". The record is from RNAcentral.